UCCCUAGUGGCUCAAAUGGUAAAGAAUCUGCCUAUAAUUCAGGAGACCCAGGUUCAAUCCCUGGGCAGGGAA
RNAcentral lists this transfer RNA (72 nucleotides) under Ovis aries (sheep). It matches the Rfam family "tRNA". From Rfam's summary of the family: Transfer RNA (tRNA) molecules are approximately 80 nucleotides in length. Lineage: Eukaryota; Metazoa; Chordata; Mammalia; Artiodactyla; Bovidae. The record is from Rfam by way of RNAcentral.